AACAAUGUUUGACUGUCCGUUUUAUAUGAAAUUUUUUUAUAAUUAGUAUUUUCAUUGUUGUUAGAUGAUAAAACAUAAUUAAUACUUUAUGCGUGACUUAUCUUUUUAAUUUUUUUCAUAAUUUUUUCAAAUAAGACAGACAGUCAAACGCUGGACACGGAAACC
Molecule: microRNA precursor, 165 nt
Filed under: Oryza rufipogon (brownbeard rice)
Lineage: Eukaryota; Viridiplantae; Streptophyta; Magnoliopsida; Poales; Poaceae
Description: MIR812 microRNA precursor family
Rfam family: MIR812 microRNA precursor family
Source: Rfam by way of RNAcentral